UGAGAUGAUAGGUUAGCUUCCUUCCGUG
RNAcentral lists this non-coding RNA (28 nucleotides) under Mus musculus (house mouse). Lineage: Eukaryota; Metazoa; Chordata; Mammalia; Rodentia; Muridae. The record is from RNAcentral.